This is a long non-coding RNA of Symphalangus syndactylus (siamang), 454 nucleotides long. RefSeq lists it as uncharacterized. NCBI's taxonomy places the organism in Eukaryota, Metazoa, Chordata, Mammalia, Primates, Hylobatidae. The record is from RefSeq and is a predicted model, not a curated record.
GUGUGUGGAUUCUCUCGGCUUUCCUGGUACGUUGCUGUGGUAGUCGCUGGAGCAAAAGUUCACGAUGUGAAUCUUCACUUGCUGCCCUGUCUGUCCAAGUGGGAGCUGCAAGCAAGUCCUGCCUCCUAUCCGCCAUCUUAAUCCGUCAACCAGUAAAUGUUUAAAGCCACAAAUCUCAUGCCCCCUCAGUCGCCGCUCUUCAAAAGUCCGUCCUUUCCUGACUUUACGUGGCAGAAAGACAAUCUGCCUUGCAGCAUGUUUAUGGAUAAUAUGGAGCUCCCCUGCAAUGAAUAUGUGAACCCUCUGUUCUUCAGGAUGGCACUUGGGAUGAUGUGGAAGUAAACUCGACUGAGCAAACCACCAUGAAGACUCCUCAGAGGUGAGAUUUUCUUCAAUCAUCCUGACCAAGACUCUUCGUUCUGCACCCCUGGUUCUCUGUACUUGAUCUAUCAUA